AAUUGGAUUUGCUUAACAUCAUUUUGCUUAAAGUUGCAUUUUUCAAGAAUGUAACUACGAUAUUAAGCGAGGAGUAGCUAUAGUUAAAUGUUAGCAUG
This is a long non-coding RNA of Gavialis gangeticus (Gharial), 98 nucleotides long. RefSeq lists it as uncharacterized. The transcript has 3 exons. Lineage: Eukaryota; Metazoa; Chordata; Crocodylia; Gavialidae. The record is from RefSeq and is a predicted model, not a curated record.